AACGAACGCUGGCGGCAUGCCUAACACAUGCAAGUCGAACGAACCCUUCGGGGUUAGUGGCGCACGGGUGCGUAACACGUGGGAAUCUGCCCUUUGCUUCGGAAUAACAGUUAGAAAUGACUGCUAAUACCGGAUGAUGUCGUAAGACCAAAGAUUUAUCGGCAAAAGGAUGAGCCCGCGUAGGAUUAGGUAGUUGGUGGGGUAAAAGGCCUACCAAGCCGACGAUCCUUAGCUGGUCUGAGAGGAUGAUCAGCCACACUGGGACUGAGACACGGCCCAGACUCCUACGGGAGGCAGCAGUGGGGAAUAUUGGACAAUGGGCGAAAGCCUGAUCCAGCAAUGCCGCGUGAGUGAUGAAGGCCUUCGGUUGUAAAGCUCUUUUACCUAGGGAUGAUAAUGACAGUACCUGGAGAAUAAAGCUCCGGCUAACUCCGUGCCAGCAGCCGCGGUAAU
Molecule: ribosomal RNA, 453 nt
Filed under: uncultured bacterium
Lineage: Bacteria
Description: bacterial SSU rRNA
Rfam family: Bacterial small subunit ribosomal RNA
Source: RNAcentral